AGAUCCAAUAAGGAUUUAACUUAUUGGGGAAGAAAGCAACCAUGAUCCAUAUACAGUGGGGCAGAAGAACAGAGCAGAGAAAAAGUGAGUUGGAAGACCUGGACUUUAUACACUUUGCAAUCUGGGUAUCUGAAUUGGUGCUGCCUUUUUAAAAAGUAAGUUUCAGAAGGGGCAUGCUGAAAUCUCUUUGACUUCAUCCAUUGGGCACCUGCUUUAGGGAUGUUUAAAAUAUUUCUAAAUAAUAAAGGAUUUUGAUAAGAACAAUAUUUAAAGGCAAAUUUAUAUUCUGGCUUUUCAGCCCACUGUUAGUAUGCAUACAAUAGGAAAGGGUCAGGCAAAAGCCCAUUUUGAUGCAAUAUCCCCACCCCCACCCCUCUGAAAUACAAUCAGGGCACGAGAUCUUACUCCACAGGUAGAGGUCUAAGGAGGAAUUAAUUGGAAUCACCUGUGCCACAGCCCGUCAGCAAGAAAUGGAACCAACCAAGAAAUGAUUCAUUUAAACUCACUGCAAGUCUUUCUGGGAGGAGGAGAGGAGGCAAGACUCCUAGAAGUUGAGGUCUGAGGAGUGUGAGAUGCUGCUGAUGGACCCCCCAUUUCCUUUAGAGGGUUUGGGGUGUCAUCAUCUGAUGAUUCCCUCUGAACAUUUGAUAAAGGAAGAAGACUUUCUUCUGGCUUCUCUUGAAGGAGAGCAUUAGUGCUCUUCAAAGGAAUUUUCUGCAAAAGAGCUUCUGGGGAUAGUAACUUCAACAUGCUAGGCAUUGCUUCAACCUGAGAGUCAUGACUCCCUUCAACUAUAGAAGGAAAAUUUCAUUAAAGCAAGAAUGUCAAGAUCAAUUUGAUGCAGCUCCUGCAAUAUACCUAUUGGUCACUGGGCAGAUGCUUAAUAUUUAUUCACCAGUCAAAGUCUGUUCUUGUUGUUUUAAAACCAGUUCCCCAGUAGUCAAGUUGUUCCUGAGAGUUUGGAGGAAAGCUUUGUGUUUUUCUUUGCUGACAUCUGCUGGAAUGAUGAACAGAAAACAGACUCAUUAACUAGAAUCUAAAGGAAUCAAAAUGGGACUCAUGUUGGGUGCAUCUGCCUUCCCUUCUUUGUUCAGAAGAGCCAGUUUCCUUGACUUCAAAAUGAAGGGAUGGUAAUAGAUGAUUUCCAAUAUUCCUUUCAGUUCUAACAGUCCAUGAUUCUAUGAUAAAUAGGUAUGGGUAACAUGACCAAUGGGUUAUUGAAUUCUUGUCAUUCAUUUUUAGAAGGAUUAAAUCUUUUUCUAAUUUAUUUUUAAUAUAAGUUUUGAUUCCUUGUAUUUUCUAUAUCACAAUCAUUUAUUUAAUGCUAAUAUUUUACAUGCCUAUUAAAAUAUUCCCUUUUGAAAUCAUAUCUUUGUGUAAGGUUGGAUUUCCUUCAUAUGUUCCAACCAAAACAACAUAUCACAAUAGAUUGGAUGCAGAAAUAGACAGCAAAAUCCAAAUGUCUUCAAUGUUUAGCCAGAUUUUAAAGAGAUUUACAAAAAUACAUAAAGUAAUUCUCACAAAUUUGUUUUUGUUUUGGAAAUAGCUAUGUUUCAUAAAAAUAUGGUC
Long non-coding RNA from Monodelphis domestica (gray short-tailed opossum), 1569 nucleotides. Lineage: Eukaryota; Metazoa; Chordata; Mammalia; Didelphimorphia; Didelphidae. The record is from Ensembl.